This 347-nucleotide transfer-messenger RNA is filed under the name Candidatus Izemoplasmatales bacterium. It matches the Rfam family "transfer-messenger RNA". Rfam says of the family: Bacterial tmRNA, also known as 10Sa RNA or SsrA, is named for its dual tRNA and mRNA-like properties. Its role is to liberate the mRNA from a stalled ribosome. Lineage: Bacteria; Bacillati; Mycoplasmatota; Mollicutes; Candidatus Izemoplasmatales. The record is from RNAcentral.
GGGGCUGUUCUGGAUUCGACGGGAUGGUUUGGGCUUGGCAAGCACGCGCUCGGCAGAUCUGAAAAUGCACGGUUAAAUAUAACCGCAAACAACAAUUACGCUUUCGCAGCCUAAGAAGAGGUAGCGGGUCAGACGGUUCCAGCCUGCGGGCAUCGCCAGACCUCAAUUUAGCAGGAUAGCAAGGGGCAUCGCCGCCUUAGGUGCCUCAAGUGAAACUAACAGGGCUGGUUAUCGGGAAGUGAGUACACUGACAUUCUGGUAACGAGAAAAAACCAGUGAACUAAGCGUGUAGAAAACUGAGUCGACGGCUGUUUCGGACGGGGGUUCAAAUCCCCCCAGCUCCACCA